This is a long non-coding RNA of Gasterosteus aculeatus aculeatus (three-spined stickleback), 30072 nucleotides long. Lineage: Eukaryota; Metazoa; Chordata; Actinopteri; Perciformes; Gasterosteidae. The record is from Ensembl.
CUGUUGUCUUGUCUGUCUACUGUCGCGCACUAACCGGCAAGACAAAUUCCUUGUAUGUUUGACAUAUUUUGGCUAAUAAAUGUUUCCUGAUUCCUGAUUCCUGAUUCCUUCAAAGGUUGCAGCCACCAAAAUGAGGCACAGUUAUGCGUGUCGACGAUGGGAUUUGGCCUCUGUCUUCGUCACACUUGGCGAAAGGUCAUUUGUUUAUGGAAGACAUACCACUCUGUUUAUUUGUUCGUGUUUUAAACAAAAGCAUGACGGAUUGUUCUUGGAGAGGAUGACUCCCAACUCCCCCAAGUUUCACAUCCGUGGGAGACAGGUAGCUUAUUAGUAGUCACAGCUGGUUAGGACCGUAAAUGACAGACAGCUGGGGAAGAGAGUUCUUGAAAAUUCCCAAUUAAACUUUUAAACAUAUCGUUGUUUUGAGAUAAUCACCUUGUGAGUUCUUGAUUGGAGCCUUCAAAUUAAGGGAUGUGCACAGCUCGUCCUGCCAGUCCGUCAAACUCACACAUUCAACUAUUAUAAAGAAUUGCCAGGAAAAUAUCAAUCAAUGUUUGAAUGGCGGGAACAAUAGGAGGACCCUAACAACGAGGCCCUGCGUUACUUUUGAUCAUAUUCUAUUCAAUGUUCAUGUGCAAACCAUACAUUUGGUCACUGAAUACACACGUGUAAUUUGUCACAAUAUUGGCGAGAGAAGUGUCAGUUACGGCAAUUUCAUCAAAUCGCUGGGCUGGUGGUGGUGGGGGGGGGGUCAAUGAGGUGAAAUCCUUUGUAUUUAAAAGUUCAGUCACGUAUGCAUCAUCUCGCAUACAAUUGCACCUGCGAUCGCAUCAUGUUUUUUGUGUUCAGAGGUUUGACGUGCAAUCACAUGGUGUUUGUAGCUUAAGAGUACUGAGAGAGUAUCACGAGAAAUAUAUAUCCACUUCCUCGAAGGCCGGGGGUCUGGGCCGAUGACCAUUUAUACAUGUUGCUACAAAGCUCAAACGGUGCAACUGAUUGGUUGCUUAACAUUUGCUUGCCUCGGGUCCGCCACCACCAAAGGAGCAAAGUGGAAUAUAAUCCAUAACGUCCCGCUUAUGUAGACAAUAGCAAUUCAGUGAAGAACAUCCUGUGAAUGUUUAAUUAUUCUUCAGAAAAUGAAAAUUGGCAGACGCAUGUACUUGUGUAGGACUCAUUUGCACAUUAAAAGGUGUAUAGAGCAGAUGCUGAUGUGGUUCACUCCAGGGCUGACGGGGUAUAAAAAAGAAACAUUGAGGCUUCAGAUCAACAGUUAGAAUGGAAGUUUGCCAUCAAACCACACAGGUUAUUGACUCAAAUUAGGCCUAAUUGACAUGGGCAGGAUUUGUGGUUUUCUUUAUGGCAUCAGGGAUAAAAAGGCAUCAUAAACUCCAUCUCAGGCACCGGUCAAUGUGUUAGCAGAACAAAGAUGCGCAGGGAAACCGCUAUAGGCCAGGCGAGUGUCACUGCCCGGGUUCAUUUUAAUUUUAACAUUGGUCAUCUCAUCAGUUCUCUACACAGACAGUUUACUUGUCAGAUUAAUAAUCUAUCAUUAAUACCAAGUAGACAGUAUAUCAACAGAUGAAUGCAGGAUGUGACCGUUUUGGUGAGUUGACUAUAAUAGGGAACCACUUUGUCCCACCCGGUCAUGUUAUUUAUUUAUUCUGAUAAAAGCAGAUUUCUGUGGUGUGCAUUUUUUUAAAUUCUUCAAACAUGAAGAUGUCCCUCACCUAACAUGUUAAGAAGUAUACUGCAAAUGUUUUCCCUUUUACACCUCCAUCAGGUCUUUCCUAUGAGAGGUACUGCCAAAGGUUUAGACUCUACAACUCUAUUUUACAUAAUCCAAAAACAUUUGUUCCCGCUUGCCUUACCUAUAAUGAGUAGAGCAGACAAAAGGGCAUAUUCUAAAUGUCAUUUCAAGCACUAUUCAAACGGACAAGCUGAGGACGUAUUGGUAAAACAUUGCAGUGCUGCUUUGCGAGAUAAAACUGUAUUAGUGAGGGAAAGAUCAGAACUAUACUCAGUGGCUUCGUGGAUUUCAAUGUCUAUCCAGAUUAUUGUUGCCCCGCUGAAACUCAACGACAGUUGCAGACAAAAGGAACAUUUUUAUAUACAAAUGUUUCUUAAAUUACAUAUGCUUUUAAAUAUUUCUUUGACCAUUGAUAGGAACAAGGAAUGACAGUGUUACUGGCAUCUGGAAUGAAUUAGUGCUGUUAUUGAACUAAAUACAAUGUUAAUUGAUACUACGAUACUACGCAUUUUGGCAGUAUUGUACACUAGUGUUUAGGCAUCCUUGAGGUUUGUCAAAUAAUGUAUUCUGUUCAUGAAUGCAUUCUUGUUCUUGGAAUAUUUAAGAAUACUUAGAGGGCUAAUUCUACUUUUAUUCUAAUUGAAUGGGGGAAUAAUCCCAUUUAAAUCCUCUACCCGCAACCAUUUUUCCAUUUUGUAUUCCUGACUGUAAAAGGGGCAAUGGGGAGAAGCUGACACUGUCGCAUCGAAUGAUUUGUGUAAAAUAAUUACCAGUGUGUAGUACAACAAGUUAUUCUGAAAAAUGAUAAACAAAAUCAACAUAAACAACCUAACAAGCUGAUCUACUUUCCCCUCAUUGUAAAAUACAAAUUCUUGGGGGCUUAUUGGGGCAGUUUGUCACCUCCCAACACCACUCUUCAGCUAUAGCUGCUACACAUCGGUGGUAAGCUAAUAUGCUUUUCGUUGUUUUCGUUGUGGAUCCUAAAUGACACCUAAACGGCAUUGUCAUGUACAGGUUAAUGUCCCUCUCUUCUUGAUGAAGAGAUGCUUUUUGCAAUGACACAUUUUUUAAAUGGGAUUUUCCAUCAAAACUGAAUGACACUGGAAUAAUUACAUGUGAAACAUCCCACACCAUUGAAGUGGUAAACACGUCAGAAAAGGAAAAGCACUUCUAACCCUAAAUACAAAAAAUCAAAUACAAAGAGCAAACAAUAAAACAAUAUGAAGCCGCAAAUGUCUGUUUUACACAGCCCAUUGCACUGGCAAAAAAUAUUGUGUUCAUAAUAUUUAUGUAUGUAUUUUUAUUUAUUCUAUUCAUCAGAAAAUUACCAAUAAAGGGGUGUAAACGGACACCGAAUUAACUGUACCUUUAAAAAACAAUCUUUAACCCAGAAGUGGUUUACAUUUUGACCUAGCAGAAAGCACAAUGCUUAAUUUCCAUAUAAAAAUACCGCUUUAAAAGUCAUAAUUUAUGUAUUUCAUAUUAACUGACAUGUCAAAAGCAGGUUCACAUGACCCCGAGUAUCCCCGCUUGGCUUCCGCUUCUUCUGUAGCGAUGAAGAAAUCGCUACAGAAGAAGCAGAAGCCAAGCGGGGAUACUCGGGGCAAGUAUGUGUGUGUGUAUGUGUGAGGAGGGCUACUAGCAGCAAGCUGCAGGGAGGCCCUGCAUGGAUGGAUAGAUCUGUGUUACGGUGCUGCUCAGCAGUACUAAGAGCAACAUUGCUCUGCUAUUUUCUUUCAAAAUGUGUUUUUGCGUCUCACGAGUUGAGGAAAAUUCUGGAGAAGCACAGCAUCUUUUGAAACUUACCGCUUCAAAAACAAAACAAAGCCCUGCUCUUUAAAAUUAAUUUCACCUUGUUCUGCAUACGACAACGCUCAUCAAUUACACGCACAGCGACCGCAUCUUGUCUCAAUCAUUGGUUACUCAAACACAGUAAUUGCUCUCCCAGGAAGUAACAAGAAAGGGUAAAACAUUGCUCAAUAACACUUCCUCUCUAAUGUGCUUCGCUCCACCGAUCAUUCUCAGUGAUGACACUAUUACUCUUCUCCCCAGGCAAAACUGAUAGACAACAAAUUGACUGCAUAAGCUAAACCUCAACCCUCCAAUACAGGCCUAAAUGAGUGCUUUUCAACCUGUUUUUUUACGGGGUUAUUUGGGGGUUGGCUCUCCUAUGGUUAAAUGAGCCAAGAAAGUUUAGUGGCCAAUUCUAAGUGAAUCCUCUGCGGAGCAGCACUUUUCUGUUCAAGAUGAAUCUUUUAGCUCAAAGCAUUUGGGGCUCCAAGACGAUGGGCCUAAUGCACUUCUCGGUUUAAACACCGCACUCUGCAGUUAAGCACCCUGAAGGCUUAAGAUGCUGCUACAUGAUUCACACCAAUGUGCUAUUUGGAACAGUGGUUGGUGUCAGAAAGGCCUUUUCCAAAGGUUGAAUUAGAAGUAGCUGCUUUUUAUUAAUUUUCUGAAACUUACGAGUGACACAAGAAGCACGUGAAAACAUCCAGGAUUGUAUGUUGUAGUUUAUUCCUCUAAGCUCUGCAAAAUAACACUAUCAAACACUCAAGCUAUUGUAGUUAUGGUGGCAAAUUUGUUUUUCUCAAAGGUAAAAAUAAAAUCUAGUUACUUUUGUAAAUUGUAUCAACGGUAUCAACAACGUGACUCCAAGCUACACAUGUUUUUCUCUGUGUUGCUGUCACUACUAGCUGUGACGGAGGAUCUUGCCAUUCUUAGUUCUGCCUAUGGACGGCUUCAACACUGGAUCUAUGGUGUUUCUGGAAGUGUGUAUCCAACAUAAAGCCUAGUAUCUGUCCAACAUGAGGCCGGCGCUCAGAUAUUUUAAAUAAAGUAGUCGUUGAUAGCAAUGAAAUAAUAUGUGACCUUAUGUGACUGUGGGAAUGUUGAAACAAAAUAAUACAUGUAAUAAAACCUCUCAAAGGGAAUGAGAGGAGCUGAUGUGAUUGUGAUUCUUCCUAUGACUCCACCUGAUUAUGCUGUAUUCCUUCUACAAUUAAUGUAUUCAUCCUGCUCCAGCAACCUUUUGCUGUGUUUUUUUUCCACUUGUGCCGAGAUUGCAUUUGCACAUUUGGUCACAAAAAAAGGGUAAUUUGGACUUUGUGAGUUAGCGACUGUUUGUGUGCCCAGUAUUAGGAAAGUGGAAGCCAAUGUAUCAUUACUGUCAAUCAUUAUUUGCAACAGUAUUAAUACGAGAAGUGUUUCUCUUUGCUGUUUUAAGUAAAUUGUUUUUGUCUAAAGGUUAUUGUCAGUAAUUUUGUCUGAAUUAAAAUAUGGUAAAUGAACUAAUUUUUGAGCCAACGAUGCAGGGGUCAUUGCAACCACUCUGCUCCGCCCGGACAUUGUAUUAACACAACGGAGUGAAUGAUCCUGCUGGACUUUGCCAUCCUGUGGGAAGACCGGAUUGAGGAUGCCAACAACUGUGAAAAGGGCUUAAUAUGCAGAUCUUAGAGAGCUGGAGAAAUGGUUGGAAAGCCCUGUUUGAGCCAGUUGGCAAGUAAAUGUGGAGAGGUGAAUUAUUAAACUAAUUCACAUUCACACUCAUUCAAACACCGAUGGCCCGGCUUUCACGAGAUCAUUUGGGGUUUGCUGUCUUGCCCAAGGACACUUGUGCAUUUACUGUAGGAGCCUGGGCCCAAACAACCUGCUCUGCCACACGACUAACUCAGAACACGUUGUGGUGGAGAAAGAGACUGGCUGGAUCCAUGAAGGGGGGUAUUGUCUUGAAUUCUGGUUUUUGUUAUAUGUAUCAUGAUAUUUAUGGCAGUUUUUAAUUUUGUCCCUCUCUGUGAUUGAGUUUGACACCACUGCUCCAGCCUAAUCAAGACUCGCGUUACUCACUAACCGUUUUAGAGAGCGAGCUGACAGCGCAACACCAAAACGUAAAUCCGUUAGAGGUGGAACUGAAAAGCUCAGGGAGAAAAAAAAGAAGAGAUCUCUGGAGGAAGGUGAAUAUAUUUAUAUAAUCUCUGACUUAUUUGGGAAACCGCGGACUUGACACACAAUUCAUUGUUUUGUUAUGCACCUUCAAUACCCCUCGCGGACCCACACACACAUACACACACCCAGCCUGCAACAAUAGUGAUACCACUGAUGUUCACACCCCAUCAUAUGUUCUGUUGAUUUCUACAAUAUAGCUCAUACUAAUUCUAGCCUCUCAUUGCAGUGUCUUUAGUGUGUUCUCUUUCUCUGCUGACAUUCAUUCCUUAAGGCUCUGUAGUUAUACGUGUAACCAUCGGAUACUAGUUGAGCAUACUCACCUGGCAAACUGUACCUAUCUUUGAUUGUUACAAUAACCGGUAUCAUUUUAUUUUAUUCCAUGUGCUCAUCCAGGCAAAUUGUUAUAAAAAAAACAUAUGAUGUAAUUUGUUUGUAAUCAUCCAAAAUAAUGUUAAGUGUAUGGGUAUUUUUCCAAAUGGGCCUGUUACGUGCCUCGGCCUGCUUGGGGGUGUGUGUGUGUGUGUUUUGACUUGUGUUCCCACAGGUGUUCUGACACACCCACCAUGCAGUCAUCUCCACUGCCCGCUCCCAUCUGCAGCCACUAAUCACCCUCACCCACAGCCAAUCAACUGCAGGAUUCCGUGGCUUAAAAGGAGGGAGGGAGAGACCCAGGAAGGCAGAGCUGUUGGAGAGAGCCGAAGGACUGUUGCGAAAAAUAACUUUUUGGCAGGAACUAUUGUUUUGAGCUGGGUUCAAGUGACAGUUCUUGUGUUUUUGGUUACAUAUGUAUUUGGGUCAUGUGAACUGGUGAAGGUUAAGUUAUUGUUAUUCUGUCUGUGGUUAUCACGUUGUUUGUACUUUUUAUUUUUUGCUUCUUCCGUUGUCCCAGGGAAAAGGGGACCGCACAAUGGGAGUGUGUAGGUAAGAGACCCUGGGGUUUACAUACUACCCGUAGAUAAACUUCUGUCUAUAUACACUAGGUAAGACCUGGGCGGACCACCCCCUGUAUUUAUCAGAGAGUUUAGCAGGUGGUGUUUAGACUAGAUAGGUUAGGGGUCCUUUUCAUUGGUUAAUUUCUUUGCUUUGGUUCCGCUCAGCCCCUUUUCCCCCACUACCGUAUUAUAGGUGAAAUAAACCUUGUUUAAACGGUACUUUGUUUUGUUGGUCCUACUUGUGCGCCCACGCAAUUUUUUUUCACCUCACCCACCUUUUGGCCAGCUCACGUGUGACUGCGAGUUACGGUAUCCUCUCUUUAGAGGAGGGCGUAACAAAUGGGGGCUCGUCCGGGAUUUGGACCCGGGACCUCUCGCACCCCCAAGCAGGCCGACUGACUGGUCGAUACGUGCGGUGCAUUGAGUGGGCACAAGUCUCACAAUGAUUUCAUGCGCCAAUGAGUAGCUUGUUCUAACGAUGAGAAAUGCGUGUACUAUUUUGCUGAACAAACGAGUACAAAAACGUCUCCCUCACACUAGGGUCAUCAAAUCAUAGUCAGGUUAUUGACCAUUCAAUUUUGCUAAUUACAGGGACCUUGUUUUUAGUAACACAGGUUGGAAUGAACCGUAAAACAAGAUUUCUGCUGUUAAUAAAAAUAUAUCAGGUCAAUUCAUGAUCGCAUAAAUCUCUUAGUCCACUCCGUUGUCUUGUCUGCAGCUUGGCUGAGGAAAAAGAUGAAUCUGCACCUACAAUACAGUAAGAAAAGGUUGUUAUGUAAACACCGUGUGAGGAGAUAACUGGGAGUUAAUUGGACCGCUUUAUUUCUGUUGUAUGUGUAAAUAAAGUGUUUAUUGUAUAACAGAUGCAAAUUACGUUAAAGUGUAAGGAAAUUAAGGCAGUGAGAUAAACAAUUAAAGUGUUAAAGCCCUGCAGGAAUGUGUAAUGUUUGACAACAGUUUCAUGUGAAGCCUCAAAUGAGAUUUCCAUGGUUGAAUUCAACUUUAAAUCACAUUUUGUGUUCAGCCAUAGACAUGUUUUGCGAAAAAAUUGUCCCCCCAGGAAACGGGGAAACAUAAUUUCCAAAUUGGAACAUUUAUGAAGUCAGAGUGUACAAAAGAAAUUCUAGUUCAUUUAUUCAUAGUGGACGCUAAGCGCUCUUACAGAGCCGUCCAUCAGAGGCUCUGAAUGUUUGCAAGCGGAGGCUUCAGGCCAAAUGGUUCCAGACUCACUCAGUGAGCCUGCAUGCAAGCACACUGGCUGCCAGAGGCACUCUCCACGGGGCAAGUAACUCCUCACAGUGCAAUUCAAUGCCUUUCAAUUGGCGUGUUAUUUUGCUGCCAGUUCACAUGCCCUUUUCAUUCGGAAAAAGACAAUAAGGAAUCUAUCUGUCUUUGGUACGUAAAAUCAAAUAAAUGUGAAUCUGAUCAUAAAUAUAGUUUUACUAUUUUUUGGUAGGGCAUUUCUUUUCAGAUGAUAUGGCAAAAAAAUGUUUCUUUAUUAACAAAGAAAUGUUUAAAUAUGAAAUGUUUAAAAUACUUAGAUCUUUCAUUGUGUAGUAUUGGGACAGAUAAUGAAAUUAAAUGAAAACAAAUGAAGGGGUAUUGGUAACUGGGUAUGGUCUUAUAUAGAAGAAUGGUCUUAUAUAGAACAUCUUCAAUAUUAGCAUAUACUAGAACCUGACUGUUCAGUAUAUAUAAAUAUAAAUUGAUUAAUAAAUUAUUAUUAUGAGGGGCCGUUUAGGACUUGACUAUUGCUCAGAACGGACCACGACACGGAGCUCUGCAGCAGGACGAUGGGUGGAGGAACGUAACAGUGAUCCUACAGCACUGUUCUCCUGAUCUGGAAUCCUUCAUUAUUAACUCUAAAUCCCCCCGUGAGUUUGCUUCGUUCAUCCUGGUCGGUGUUUACAUGCCGCCGGAGGGCAACGUGCAGGAAGCACAGCGGACACUCGCCGACCAGAUAAGGCGUGUGGAGCACUCCGACCCGGACUCCUUAGUCAUUGUCCUCGGGGACUUUAACAAAGGAAAUCUCAGCCAUGAACAUCCUACGUGCAAACAGUUUAUUAAAUGCCCGACCAGAGAGGAGAACACGCUGGGUCACUGUUACACCACAAGCAGGCCUUAUCACGCCGUCCCUUGUACUGCGCUGGGACACUCGCGUUGCAUGUGGGCGAGAUAAAUGCGAUGGAAAGGCCAUGGAUUUAUGAAGAGUAUGCGACAGAGACAAAGAAAUGGAAACUGACAUAUGUUAACGUUCUAAAGGAGUAUCAUUGAUGUCGAUCAAAAGUUGAAAUAUCAAUAAUCUUUCUUGAGAAUUGUUGACUCUACCUUCAAGCCUGGUUAACUGUUGUAAUCAAAUAAGACCAAUGAUUAGUAAGAUGUUAUUGUCUGAGAAAAUUACAUUUCACACAAAAUUGAGGAUAAAACAUUAAAUUGGGAAAGACAGUACUUUCAAUGGACUACUGAUGACUUGAGGCCGGCAGCAUCAUUUCACACAAUUUGCUUUUGUGGAGGUAGAGUGGCGGGAGAGAAGAGAAACACGGCAGCAGGUUUUGAAUGACAAAAUCGAAAGAAAAUUGAGAAAGCAACCAAAGUGAGCAGUAAUUCUACACUAUGAAGAGAAAUUGCCUCAAUUGAGAAAAAGGAAGUUGGGAGUUGAAUGGAGAUUCAGCAAUGUUGUAUUGACAGUAUCGACCUCAAACAAACUUUCCUUCAUGAUCAGGAAAUCUAUUUCUGUAACUUUGUAACUCAGUGGCGUUUUCAAAAAAUCCCCCAUAGCGACAAUUUGAAAUUUGUCCAAAACACAUGAAGAUAAAGGCAAUCUCCGAAAUGAAACCCAAAUCAACCUGUAUCUUUACUGUGGAAAAUGUCCAUGUGUAUUUAAACGACAUUGAGAAAUAAGUAAAGCUCAAUGGACUUGUUGCUUUCUAUUCUUGUGACCACUCAAAGCUGUCAGCACAUUCUCAUUUAAAUUCAUUCAGCAAUUUGGGGUUAAGCGUCUUGCCUAAGGACACAUCAACUAGCCCGGGGUCGAAUCACAGAACCACUGGUGUAGGAUGACCCUGAUCUACCCCUGGGCCGCAGUCAGUAGUGGUAAGGGGAGUGAGGUUGUAGAGAAAGGAGUAAAUCUUUAUGGAAAGCAAGGUUCUAUGAGAAAGCUGAACAAGACAAUUUAAAUAGUAUUUUAUUCAGAUACAACGCACAGAAAAGCGGCGACCCUCACUUCAGGCCUCGAGUCCUUUAAUGUGACUGAGCUUAGGUCACCUCGUCCUUUUCUCCACUUUUCUGGCUCUUUUCUCUUCACUUGACUUUAAUAGCGCACCUUCUGUCUGCUAUUUGUUCAAGGCUUGUGCAUUAGAUGUUACAAUAAAAAGUGAGUGACCCAGGGGCAGUGGUACAUUGAUUUUUCAGACGUUACUUCUUGACUGGAUAAAAGCUUUCUCAUGUAUGAUACAGGUACAACAGAAGACUAGCAUUCAUUAUUCACUGUCGACCAUUCAAAGACUGUGGUGUUUAGGCUGGCUGCGCUGCUCACUGGUCCCUAUUCUAAAUAAGGAAAUUGGAUGGAGAAGAAUGAACAACAUCGGAUAGAGUACAAAGAAAUUGUUUCCAACUGUCAAAUUUUUAUAUGAGAAUGCAAAGAGGCAAACCUUGAUUAUGGUACACACUUUAAAGUGAGAUCUCUCUGUGACACUGAACUUGGCAGAGUUUUCCUCUUUCCAUUUACUGAAUCACUUGGCGAAAAGGGGCUGCUGGAUCCCACUGGUACUUAGGGAACAAACCCAGUUUGCACACAUUGUACUUAUAUUCUGUAGACGAGACUGCGCACAUAUUUUUGUAAGCCGUUCCAUGCCAAUUUAAAGAAAUAAAAUGGUUUGUAUGAAAUCACAGACUUCAAAUAAUUAGGAUCCUCGCAACGACUAGUCGUAGAGGAACCUAUUGUAUUUCAAGGAAUUAUUAUUCUCACAAAUGAAAUGCCUUUUUGCCUUUAUCAUAUUAAAAAAGUUGUUAAAUUUGGGACGCAUAUCAGAACUGGUGAAAAAUUAGAUAUUUUGUGGGUUUCGCAAUUGGGUACGAAGAAAUGUCUCCAUAGCGCCACCUAGAAAGGUAAAAAAGUACCUCACUAGGCCAGUUUCACUCCCCGAUGUCCGAUCGACUUGAAAUUUGGCACACAUGUGCUCUUGGACAUGCUCUACAAAAAGUCAAUCAUGGUAUUUGAAUUUUUUGAAAAACACGUUUCGGGCCAUUUCUCCUAAACGCUAUGUCAAUUGUCACGAAAUUUUCUGUGGAUCAUAACUAUUGAUAGUUUCCUUUUAAUUCUGACCUGAAAUGGACCAAAAGUAGUCUCGUAAUGGAGAAUUUGAUGGAAACUGGCUCAUGUAUGGUAUUUUGAGAGGCUUUCAUUUUGGAAUAGUAGAUCAGAAUGUCCUGCUUAUCCAUACGUGACACCUAGGUGAUGUGUACUAUCAGUCUGAAGCGGAAAUACUGUAUAACUAUUGAUUUUUUCCAUUUAAAUCUAAUCUGAAAUUGACCAUAUGUAGUCUUGUGAUUUAUAUUUUGACUCAUGUAUGGUAUUUUGAGAGGCUUUAAUUUUAAAAUAGUCCUGGUUAUCCUGGUUAUGUCCUGGUUAUCCCUGGGUGACACCUUGGGGAUGUGUACUAUCCGUCUGAAGUGAAAUGAUCAAAAGUACUCUCGUUAUGGAGAAUUUUAAGGAAAUUAGCUCACGUAUGGUAUUUUGAGAGGCUUUCAUUUUGGAAUAGUAGAUCAGAAUGUCCUGCUUAUCCCUGGAUGACAUCUUGGGGAUGUGUACUAUGAACCUGAAGUGGAGCUAUCAUGUAGCUAUUGGUCGUUUCCUUUUUAAAUACCAUCUGAAAUUGAUUAUAAGGCUGGUGAAUGAGAUGUAAGAGAAGGUUUGGUGAUCUAUGACAUUUCAUGUCGCUCCACACGGUUAACAACAACUGACUCUUUGAUGCUUUGUCUGACGGCCCCAUGAGUUCUUGGCUGCGUAUCUAGCCGUCCGGCCUGUGCCCCGACGUGAGGAGUUGCGAGGACCCGUCCAACGCUGCUCGCAGCUUUAAUUUGGCUUGUUUUUGUAUGUUACUAGUUUGUAACGUCAGCCUCUUGUACAAAGGAUCACUGCUGACAGACAGGCGGCUGGGCCAUUGAGAUGAAUAGAGCAAUGAUUGCAUUAAUUGUUAAUGAAUCAUUUGAAAAAAGAAUGACCAUUUCAAUUAAUUAAUUUCUUUGUAAAUAAUGUUAGAAACAUGUAUUAAUUCAUACAUCUCAGAAAAGAACUACAGUAAACUUGGAUAUGGGUUUUAAUUUUAAACGAUAAAUCAAUUUAUUAGUACUAACUUUUGUCCUCAACCAUUAAAUUCUUACUUACCAAGACGUACUCAAAUUUGAUGACUACUCAAUCAACAGAUCUCUCGAACAGAGUUUCUCCAAAUAUAAUCAACAAAAGGACCACUCAUCAUGGGCUCAGAAUCCAGCACUAAAACAAUUAUUCCACAAACGAAAUUGAGAACAAACACAGAAGUAAACUGACUAAUAAAAAAAAAAACGUGUGGGGCAGCCCUAACACACAAACACAUGUUUCUGUAACAACUAAACAAUUACAACAACUGGCCUCCUUAUGUGAUUUCACAAUUCCUGAAUUAGAUAAAUAACAGAAACAGCUGCUAUAAAUCACAGUAUUGAUCUCCUUACUGGGAAAAAAACUCUUAGUGUGUUCUAACAAAGAAGUAGUUUUAACAACCGCAUAACGAACAAAUUCAAAAAGUACAACUAUUAAGAUUUAGAAGGCUGAAAGCUAAUGUAAAUCAUAUUUCACAUUGUUCCUCAUAUUAUGUGAAUAGAACUUUAAAAAUGAAUAAAUGAUAAAGGUAGAGCAAAAAAGAACAAAACAGCUGUAAACAGAUGGAACAAAUUGUUACUCAAGACAGAGAGCAAAUUCAACAUAGAUGUUUGGAAACGUUUAUUGCCGUUUGAAAACAGCUAAAGCAGAAAUGAUUUGAUGAACUUGAUGCACAGAUUUAAUUAACUGUUGCAAGUCUGUUUGAUUACCGGGGCUUUAGGUUAACAUUUUUGCUCACCGGCCAUUGUGGCUGGUGGUUUUUACUAAGUUACUAGCCAUUCGCAAUUUCAUUAGCCAAAAUGUUUGUUGUUGGGAAAUUAAGUUUAAUUUGAUUUGAAGAACUCGAUUUAUGAUCUUUUCAAAUGUAACUGACUAGUGUAAACACCUAAAUCAAGACUAAACAAAAUGUACAGUGCAUCCGGAAAGUAUUCACAGUGCUUCACUUUUUCCACAAUUUUUUUUAUGUUACAGCCUUAUUCCAAAAUGGAUUAAAUAAAUUAUUUUCCUCAACAUUCUACACACAAUAACCCAUGUUAACAAAGUGAAAACUGUUUUUUGCAAAUUUUUUCAAAUCUGUUAAAAAUAAAGAACGAAAACAUAACAUGUACAUAAAUAUCAGGAUCGUCGGGAUCCAAACCUGGGUCUUCGUGUAGCAGGCGGAUACCACUGUGCUACGAGUGGUGGUGACUCAGGUGCAGAGACAGACAAGUCGUUUGGAGUGAGUCAAAAAAGGUUUCUUUACUUGCAAAGAACUCCAAAAUAUUCCUAGACAACUAAAAACAGGGUCUGAGGCCUCAUUUAUAAGCGUUACGUACGCACAAAAGAAGGCGUACGCCGCUCUCAACAAUUGGUAUUUAUAAAAAGCAAACUUGACGGAAAAAUGUGCGGUCCCGACGCAAGCUCGGACCCAUGCGUACGCACAAAAACGGGUGAAAUGAGAACCGUCGGCAAAUGCAAGAAACACGCAAACAUAUGUGAAAGCGUGUAAAACUAGACUUUUGUGUAAAUGAAAUGCCAAUACUGCCUCUCAUAAAUAACACGAACACCCGUUUGAGCGUAAAACAAACGGAAAUACAAAUUUACACAUUUUCAAAGAGAAAAGUGAAAUAUCUUCUGCAAUAAUUUUGGCAUGUUAUGCAAUUCAUCCUCAAAACACAGCUGUUGCUUGUCAGAUGCAAUCAAAUAGACGGUAAUAAAAUGCCAUGAUGCUGAUGGCUGAUCUUGCGCUCUUAGAAGAUGUGGCAAAUGGAAGGAUUCGCGCUGUAGUGCAGCGCACCAUCGGCCUGUUUAAGGGCAGAUGGCGCUGCCUCAACUGCACUGGAGGGAGGUUAUUGUCUACUCCUGAAAAGGUGUUCAAAAUCGUGCUGGCAUGUGCUGUGCUACAUAAUGUGGCACAGCUUCCAAAUGUGCCUCGCCCACCCUGACUCCGAUGGCUGUGUUGGCCCAAAACCUGUCCCCGAUCCCCAAUCAUUGCCGCCAGUCUCUCAUCAAGAGGGGACAGGUCCGGUGUCCCCUUUCCCCCACCUGUGGCAAACACACCUUGGCGAUGGCGCGCUAAACGCUUUUUUUUCUACUUUGAUGUCAGACCAUUUUUUCUUUAUUUCGGCCACGGUCCGAGGUUGUGAGGCUGCAGCGUUGCUGUGGUGCCUUUUUGGCAUUAGUAAUGCCCAUACUGUGCCCUCCAAAAAGCAUUUUACUCCUUUCCACCUCGCCAAUGAUAAUUUCGACUUCAUACUGAGUGAAGUUACGUUUCUUCGUUUUCCUCUCAGUGUUUGCCAUGAUUUCGCAAUCGAUGAAUAUUAAUUUGUGGGCGUUCCACAGACUAUAUAAGGGCAACUAUGGGCGUGACAUGAAGGCGCAAAAACUGCGCUGAAUUUAGAAGUGAUUGUGAUUUAUUAAGGGAAAACUGCGUAGGACGUGCAUGCGCACGGUUUUUUAAGUCUUAGAAGUCUGAAUAUUUCUGUGCGUACGCACGUUCUAUGUUUCAUCCGUACGCCACUUCUGGCGCAAAUCCUAUGCAAGGUUUUAUAAAUGAGGCCCCUGGACAUUUAACAAGAUAACCAAAGGUGUCCCAAAAAAGAGGCAACAAAAGAUCUUAAAAACCAAAAAGGAUUAACAGAGGUAUGGCAUCAAGAAUCUCACGCGGCUCAGCUCUAGGUGGCAAGUUCCAAGACUCGGCAAACACAAAGAAACUCAGUUGGCCUUUAAAAGACUAGAAAACAAGGCACAGGUGAACGCAAUGAGAACAAUCAAGACAACACACAUGUGACAGGUGACAGACAUAAACUGGAUCGCUGAGGACCCCAUAUUCACAGCCUUUGCUCAAUACUUUGUUGAAGCACCUUUGGCAGCAAUUACAGCCUCAAGUCUUCUUGGGUAUGAUUCCAUCAGCGUGGCACACCUAUUUCUGGGCAGUUUCUCCCACUCUUCUUUGCAGAACCUCUCAAGUUCCGUCAGGUUGGAUGGGGAGCGUCGGUGCACAGCCAUUUUCGGAUCUCUCCAGAGAUGUUCAAUCGGGUUCAAGUCAGGGCUCUGGCUGGGCCACUCAAGGAUAUUUACAGAGUUGUGCCGAAGCCACUCCUUUGUUAUCUUGGCUGUGUGCUUCGGGUCGUUGUCCUGUUGGAAGAUGAACUGUGACCCCAGUUUGAGGUCCAGAGCGCUUUCGAGCAUGUUUUCAUCGAGGAUGUCUCAUUACAUUGCUGCAUUCAUCUUUCCCUCAAUCCUGACUAGUCUCCCAGUUCCUCCCUCUGAAAAACAUCCCCACAGCAUGAUGCUGCCACCACCAUGCUUCACUGUAGGGAUGGUAUUGGCCAGGUGAUGAGCAGUGCCUGGUUUCCUCCGGAGAUGACGCUUGGCAUUCAGGCCAAAGAGUUCAAUCUUUAUUUCAUCAGACCAGAGAAUUUGGUUUUUCAUGGUCUGAGAGUCCUCCAGGCGGGCUGUCAUGUGCCUUUCACUGAGGAGUGGCUUCCGUCUGGCCACUCUACCAAACAGGCCUGAUUUGUGGAGUGCUGCAGAGAUGGUUGUCCUUCUGGAAGGUUCUCCUCUCUUCAUAGAACCAUGCUGGAGCUCUGUCAGAGUGACCAUCGGGUUCCUGGUCACCUCCCUGACUAAGGCCCUUUUCCCCCGAUCGCUCAGUCUGGCUGGGCAGCCAACUCUAGGAAGAGUCCUAGUGGUUCCAAACUUCUUCCAUUUCCGGAUGAUGGAGACCACUGUGCUCAUUGGGACUUUCAAUGCUGCAGAAAUCUUUCUGUACCCUUCGGCAGAUCUGUACCUCAUUACAAUUCUGUCUCGGAGGUCUACAGAUAAUUCCUUGGACUUCAUGGCUUGGUUGAUGCUCUGAUAUGCACUGUCAACUGUGAUACCUUAUAUAGACAGGUAUGUGCCUUUCUCAAUCAUGUCCAAUCAACUGAAUUGUCGUGUGUAGAAUGUUGAGGAAAAUAAUGAAUUUAAUCCAUUUUGGAAUAAGGCUGUAACAUAACAAAAUGUGGAAAAAGUGAAGCGCUGUGAAUAUUUUCCAGAUGCACUGUAUAUGUACAGACACCACAUUUUCACCUCUUAAGUGUGUCAAGCUCCUUUUGUAUGAAAACAUAUGCAACUUAUUGAGACAAAGACUCUGUUUAAUCGCAAUGCUUUUGACAUGGCCGAACGAAAAUAUCCUUUAUUGUUUCCACGGUAAAAUGGCUUGUCCCGACUACAGAAGAGAUCCCCUUUAAUUUUUCACUGCAGUACGUCCUACAAUCGGUGCAAUGCAUUAUUUUCCUGGCUGGAUCAUAAACCAGCCAUUCUCGAGUGGAUCUCCACUUUUCUCUCUCUUUGUCUUUGUUUCACCACCAGUUUUUUCUCUCUUGUGUGUCUGUCCUCCUGGUUUUCCUGCACCUGCUCUGUGUCUCCACGUACUCGCCUUGCGCCGAGCAGGUGGCGUCGUUGCGGCCCAUAGCGGGUGCACAACAACCGCCGCUGCCCCUGUAGGGGACAUACUAUCUCAAACGCAAACCACUGAACAUGAAACACUGUACACUAAAAUAAAAAAUGAUAGAGAUAUAGAAGGACAGCAGGAAGAGUCGCUAGUUGUUCCACCCGGUAUUCAGCCUCCAAGAGGAUCGCAUGUGUGUAGUUUUGUGUUUGAAAAAAAUACAAUUAAACAAAUGUCAUUCGCGCUGUCUGAAGUGAUUACUUGUUAUUUAGGAGAUUUAGUCUUUAGAAGAAAACUUUUAAUUGUGAUUAACCUAGAUUAAUUCAUUUUAAAAUCUCAGAUUAAUUUGUGUUAAUCUUUUAACAGCCCUAGUUAUUUUCUCAGCUCUCCCCAUGUGCCCCUUGUCUGAGGGGCUUUUUGCUUCCCAGAUACACAACACUCAAAGUGAUGCAUUCAUAAACCAUGAUUCUCGGCCACGGUGUACCACCAUAUGGUACACUCAUCUAAAAGCUGUUUUAUUUUGAGAGAAUUUACGUUUUUGUGUGAUAAUGAAGAAGCCUUCCUUUUGGCGAAAGACAUUUUUUGGAGGUUAAAACCUCCAUUAGUCUUUUCGGGAAAUACCGUUUUGCAUUAAAAUAAUCUUUUGGAUUUCUGAUUAUGACUUUUUUUUUUGUAGAAAAUCAAGGGACUUUAAGGAUCAAAUAUUACAAAACACGGUUUCCUUAUGGGAGCACACAAAAGGUACAAUCAUGGGGUAUCAAGUAAGAAGUCAGCUAUUUCUAACCUUCUGAAUACGAGAGAGUGUCAGAACUUAGUUUCAGAUUCAGGAUCCAGUGGCCCUUAAAGAUGAACCAUUUUGGACAACCACCACUCAUAAAGGAACAGUACUCUGUUAGAAAAAAGACAAUUAGUAUUGUUUUUUUGAUUAUGGGAAAGACAAACAAGGUUCUGGAAAAUGUUAAUACUUGCUACUUUGUUUAAGUUAAUACUUUGCUUUACCAAGACAUCCUGAUAGUGGCAGUUCAUCCCAUCAGUUAAACUAUACAAAUAGUGCAGAGCCAAACAUAUGGUCCCAAGCUAGGAAAAAAACAACUCUUUUUGUAUAAUGCCGUAGAAAGGGACUGUGUACUUUCUUUGGCACUGUGAUGUGCUUAUUGGGUUACCUGUUGUAGCACAUCGUAACCAAUCAGUAGGCCUUACAGCCUUACAGCGUACCAUGGUGGUUGAUGAUGAGCCAACCCCACAGGUCCUAACGGAGGAUGGUGCAAACCUUUACCCACGUCUUGGGCUAUUAAAAGAAAAGGUUAUGCUUUUAGCUUGUGCAGUCGCAAAUACAUGAUGUUUUGUGUAAAGAGGUGCAAAUAAACAAAAGGUUGUGCACAUGGAGAAAUAAAACAACAAAGCUAGUUUACAACAAAAAUAAGCCUUUUCAUUUUUUGCCUUUGAGUGGACUGCAGAGAGCCCAAAAUAUGUGUGACCCUAUUGCACUACUGUAGUUCAAUCAUGAUUUAAGGUCAUUUCUGCUUUUGUGGUCUCAAAAACACAUUUAAAGUAGAAGGGUAUUUGGGGGACGAUUGUACCAACAGUUUUCUUUUCUUUCAUGCAACUCUGUGUGGAUAUUGCCUUGAAUAGAAAUUUUCAAUAUUUAAUUUUUCGUUUAGGGCCACGACUAUUUCAGAUGUAGAGUAUGGUAAUCUUUUGGCCUGUGCACUUUAUUUUUUUACUUUUUAUUUUGAAUUUGCAUCUCACUGUGAAUGUUAUUUGUCUCUUUGUCCACCGUCCAAUGUUACGCAUCAACCGCAAUGUCAAAUUCCUUGUAUGUAAACAUAUUUUGGCAAUAAAUGUUUGGUGUCUGAAUUGUACUAAAUGUGUCUCAAUGAAAAGAAGAAAACGUUGAUGUUUUUAUUAUCCUUUGCCAAUUCAAAAUUAUAAGUCACUAAUGCCCAUCCAUCCAAAGCUAAUUGGGGCAACUUGAAAUGAAGACACAAACGUCCAUCAGUCAGUCGCCCUCUUGGCCUACACCACCUCUCCUUAUUUCAAGAACAACUAAAUAAAAACAACAGUGAAACACUUAAAAAAAACGGCAAAAUGAAAAUGUUUGCCUAUGAGUGGCUACAUGAAAUUACACCUCAGGCUAUUUGAUUCUCCCAAAGUUUACUUGUAUAACACCAUGAUGUACACCCUGACCUUGUGAAAAACAAAAAAAAGCAACUAUAAUGGACCUUUAAUCUCCCUGAGACUUUACUUCAACCAUAUUUUUAACCAGUCACUGCUGAAAGUUGUAUACAGAGCAGGCUAACCUCAAAUUGCUGCUGACAAAAACUGAAACCUGAUGACGCAAGGAUCUGCAAUAUAGACUGACUUUUAGAAGUGCAAAGGCUGCACCUGCACCCCAAUGAAUUAUGGGUACUGAAACCGAUACUGCCUCUGACGGAAUAGAAGGUUGACGUCUUUGAAACUGGCAGCCCUCAUUUUGGAGAAAUUUGCAGCUGACUUGUGAGCCAGAGCGUCUGUCAAGGAUGAAAUGUAGAUGUUGUCAUGUUCAUUUAAAAUGUAUUCAUUGUCUAAUAGGCAGAUUAAACUUCUUCCGAGAAUUGAUGUUUCAGACAAAUAUGCUUAAAAUUAAGUGUGUUGCACUUUUUAGGUCACGUUGACUCCUACUUUUUCCAAAAACAAUUUCUAUGUCUUCUUUUGUGUAAGUGGCCACUUCAGAAAAUAAAUCAUAGAAUCGAGUCAAGCCAGAAGAGUGAAGGAGUGAAGCACUGCAUUUUAAGACAACAUCAUUGGUCAUUGAGUUUUACAAAAAAAAAUGUUGUAUUCCUUUCAUAAAGUGUUUGUAUCACAUUGAGCUUUAUAAUAAAUUCUACCAUUCCUGAAACUACUGAGACGAGUGUAGUAUUUUAUACUGUAUAUAUUUAUGAGCCCAAGAGACUGCGUUGAUGUGGGAUUCCAUUGUUUUUGCACCUUUUGCACAAAUGGUUUUAAUUACAAUAUAAUAAACAUUUUAAGUUACCAUGUAAUCCAGAAGGGCAUUUAAAGGAAACUUGUCGUUUUGUGGCUCAAAUUGAUUAUGUUACAAUAAGAAAGAAAACUAAAGAUACAACAACACAUUGCGACAUCAUUGGGGAAAUAACUAUGAUGUGAUUUAAUGAGACAAAGACUACAACGAGGUGAAAGACUCUGUGAACCAGGACGCACUUAGUGGCUGAGGGCAUCUGUCCUGAUGGACAGUUUGAAAAAUAUGCCUUGCAAAUAUAGAUUUUUUUAUCUGAGCAGCACCAAGCUUUUUCCGCUAAUAAAAUAAGGAGUCAGACUCAAAACACACCUCUUUCGAUGUGGCAGUUACAUAACUUGAAUUAUCAUAGAAUGUGUAGAAUGUGUAUUUGUGCAGAUGGAAAAACAAAUGGCCUUCAGUGCAACAUAAUGAAAUGUGUGCCGUGUGAAGUGUGAAAGGGGCAUCAUAGCGGCAUGCUGCAGAUAGGAUUGGUCUCAUCUCAGGUAGUGGUCGGCUGGUAAAGUAAAUUACCUCAUUUAAAUGAAUGUAGCAUCCACAACCAGUUCGCUUGUCAUGUGCUGGUGCACAUUAUUAACAUAAAAAUCCAGCAUCACACCCUGGAGUUUAAUACGUCUAGGAUUAUAUCCACACGCCGCCAGCCCCCUUCUCACUCCCUUUCUAUUUCUGCCUCCCUCGCUAUCUGCUUCUCUCCCCACUCUCUCUUUUACUGUACCUUUCUUAUACGCUUUCAUCCGCAAUGGGUGACGGGUAAUCAAUUUAUCUCGCACGUUGCCGUGAUGUAAAGAAGGUCUUAUGGAGACAUCUCUGCGUCCGGCUCUGACAUUUGAUUCGAAAAACAUAGACGUUAAUGCUCGGCAAAGUUUAAAAUGUUGCUGUAUCACAGCCUGGUUGUGUUUCAGUUUCAGAUUAAACCGCAUGACCUUUAAUAUGAAUCUGUUCUGUUUAUUUGCUUGGAGAUUUUAAUUUAAGUUGCUACAGUUCCUGAAGGCCCACCUUUUUUUUCCAUCAGGGUCAGAGAAAGUUCCUUGUGCCUCCGGUCCAGCCAUGAGAUUCAGUUUAAUUCAGGGUAUUAUGAGGAUUUCGGUGGCUUAAACAUUUGGGUUGAGUCAUAUUGGUUGGGGAUAUGGCAGCAGGUUGGUUUUCUAAAUUCUAACCAAGCAGCAAGGGGUCUGCUGUCUUCUGCAGACACAGUACUUUCGGUAGUGGCUCAAAUUUUCCUCUCUGUUAUACGAGGUCUAUAAACAAGUGUCAAAUUUGAUACGCUGGCAAAAUCAAGAUUAUAUUAUCGAUAUAAAAGGAAAUCCAUUUCUUAUACAGUAUGUUUGUAUAAUUAUAUAUGUAAUUUCCAAAAGGUUUAAUAUCUAAAUCUUGAAACAAAUAUCAUCGUACAUUUGAGCAUCAUUAUGCACCUUCUUACUUACAGAUGCAUGGUGGCACCGAUGCACUGACCUCUGUGUUCUGGCACACCUACACCACAGAUGAGACAAACUUUGGCUGUGCAUUCAAAGACUGAAAAUUCCUUAAAUGUUUAAAACAAAAAAGCUUCAUAGUGCUCACUGUGGUGAUUGGGUUUCUGUUUGUUUGGGUUUUGGCUGUGUUCUCUUGUGUUUUGUUUGUGGCAGGGGGUGUGGCUGGCUGUUGGCGGCAACUGGACUGGACGAGACACACCUGCAUCCAAUAAUCAUCCUCCAUAUAAGCCUGGGCGUCUCAUCACGGCGACGCCAGAUUAUUCCAGUCUACUACGAACGCCCGGGUCCGUCACCGCCCGGCUCUUCGUCCUCCCCGUUGCCAGGAUCCUCGCCAGCCAAUAAACUCUCGUCCGUAUAUCCGAUCACUAACCUCUCCGUGUCUGCUUUGGGGUCCGAACCUUCACCUAAACCUAACACUCACUUUGCGGCAGUGAAACAGGCCCCGCCAUUAACAGGCCAGUUUGCCUCAUCAGGGCAAUAAUUAUUCAUUUGAAUGCUAUGAACUAUGUGUAUAUAUCAACAAAAUAAAUUCCAUUAUAAAACCCACCGUCAUAAAAUCGUCUCAUUUGAGCUCUAUUCCUCUCCCAGUGUGGGUGCAGGAGGCUUUAUAAUUAUCUCUCAUGUGCAUCUAACCUAGGACUUCUAGCCAAAGACAAACUUUAUGUGUGAAACUCAGAUUAAUUCUGAGAUGUUUGAUAUAUAUAAGAGCCCCAGACAAAUCCGAAGGCCACAGAAAUAUCUUAAUAUCAGAAAAAACCCGAAUGAUCCUUUAAUUAAUCUUCACAUUACACUAAUCCUGAUUAGGAUCAUCCUAAAUCUACAUGCGUGAAGGGUCAUGGGUGUAUGCCAAGUCUAUCAAAUUGCAUCUUGUUUGUUUGCUUGUGUCUCAAACAGGGAAGCAUGAAGGGACACAAGGAAACCGUGCAAGGAGAGAAGACAGAGGAAACAUGUUUUUGUUUCUUAGAGAAAUGAGACAGCAUUGUUUCUAAAUACCAUGGCUACUGAACGACUGUAUAGAGACGGUACUGAUGCUAAUAAAGGGCCACAGUUAUAACUGGCAGAGCAGCAGUGUGUUCGCUCCGUAUCCUUUUAUCAUCUUAACAAUACACAUGGAACCUGCAUUCUUUCAUUACGAAGUCCAUUUCUGCUCGCACAAUGUGUUUCCAGCAUUCAUUCAUUAUCUGCAUCAGUGACAACUGAUAUUUUAAUGUUGAAUUUAUUAUUCAAAUAACCAAAUUAGAAUUGUGUUUUUGGCUUACUCUUUGAGGGAAAAGUGAAAUCACAGAACUCGAAUCAAAUCAAAUAUCCAAGAAUUAUCCAACUCCAUCCAUCCAUCCAUCUAUUGUCAAACCGCUUAUCCUGCAGACAGGGUCACGGGGGGGCAAGAGUCCAUCCCAGCCAACUUCGUGCGAUAGACAGGGUAAAUUAUCCAACUCCCAUGACCAAAAUGAAUGAGUAAAGUGUUUCUUUCUGACAGAGUCUUUUGAGGGAUUGAAAACCGUGGAAAUAUAUCAAAUCAGAGGCUUGUGGUAUGUCAAAUGAAUCUCCAAAGAUGACAAAUAUACAGCUCAAUAAUUCCAAUUACAAGUCUUUACCAUAAAAUAGAAAAAGAAGAAAAAACUAACGUUCUUGAGUGAACCGGACUUGAUUGAAUUAGGUGGACAAGAAGAGUACGCCAGGUUAAUGAGCGAGCUCGAUCUAUUCAAACAAGUCCUUCGACAUCGAGACACAAGGACUUGACAAAUGUCUCUACUCGUCCCUGAAGCACUCUCACUCUCACCUGUGGAUUCCACCGGGCUCCACUUCUCAGAGCAAACAUUCAACAUUUAUUGUUGCAUUUUGAUUUAUUCUCUUUUAGUGUCCUUUUUUCCCCACAUGGACUUCAGUUUCAUCGUAAUUCCAUCUUGCUUUUUUACUCAGCUCUUGAGACGUCUCAGUGUGCCUUCACCGUCCCCUGAGACACAAAGUGAGGAGGCAAACUCAAAACGCAGCCAACAGGGCGCCGAUCCUCGAAGUUGUUAUUUUUUGCAUUAUUUCCUCAAAUGAAAGUUGUUCUUUCAAAAACAAUAUGGCUGCCGUCUGACUGCCUUGAACCUCCGCUGAUCAAACGAUCCCGACCGUGAACCGAGGACACCAGAACAAACUGAAAUUGAAAAUCUUUGCCCUCAAUCUUUUAUAAUGACUGCAUUAGAGCCCACACCAGCCUGUCGCUGUCUCCUGCAAAGCUUGCCGUUUACAACACACUCCACAUGUCCCCCCCUACACAACAACAUGACGUUCCCUUAACGAGUUUUGCCUCGAGAGCGGCGGUUUAUCAAGCGGUCACCUCGGCCCGUCUAAUACAACACUCAUCCUCGCGCCACAGAAAAACUCAAUAACUGUGUAGGAGUUUUUCACUGAGGAGGUGGAGCUCUCCAGCGCCGGGAAAAGCCAUUGACUGCGGAUGGUGACGCUGGGUGCAACCGGUGUGGGCGAAGCAUGUCUGAUGAGCCUGGAUUCAUCACAAAGUCAAUUGAAGACCUUGAAAAAGCAUUUAUUUCUCAUUUUUUUCAUCUCGCUAUAUAACUCAGCUUAAGUAUGAAAGGAACAGGUGUAAAUAAUUGAUCAGAGUGUAGAUGGGGGUGCGUUAGGAGCAAAUUAAAGUGCAGCUGUCAUGUAAACAGUCUUCUCUCAGACUUCCGCUAAAUAUUGUCUUUCCUCUUCGCCUGUCUGUCUUACCUUUCAUUUGCUCCUCCCUCCUCUUCUCUCUGCACCAACUCUCUCUCUCUAAUACACUGCAGCAGUUGUAACUCUUACAUCACCCCCCCCCCACAGACACACACACCCCCACCUUACCCAACUCCCUUUUUUUUUGGAGGUCGGUGGAGAAUAUUGAACAGCCACUUACCUCAUAUUGACAUGACUUUAGAGAAAGCCCAGAGAACAGUUGACGUCCCCAGUCUGCUUCAUGUUUAUCGUGUGCCAGUUUCAAGCGGGGAGGAGAAGGAGGUGCGUCGCCUUCACACAUGAUGGUGUCAGAAAAAGCUCGAUUUCACGGCGUCUUAUUUCUUAUGCAUCCUUCACCCUCUUGACUGCAGGAUGAUGUGCAAUUAUCUCACACACAGACACACACACACACACACAGACACCUACACUCCCACACAGACACACACACAGAGCAACCGUCCUGAAUCAUCGGGAGACAUUUCUGCAGUGGAGAUCGGUGUGUCUUGAAUUCACAACACCAUCAUGCCUCACACAUCGACUUUCCUUCAAUGCAGCCAGAAUGUAAUUGACUUUGAAAGACGGACAGAGGAACUCAUGGCGAGGAUGUUGGUGCAUGUUCCGAUAUUUGCGAUAGUAUUUGUGAUCUCCUAUGGUACUCUAUCAUCUGUGUGUCAUCAGUACUGUAUAAAACAUGUGUGACACUAAAACAAACCAUUAUAACGACCGAAAGAGAAUAUACAGGAAGCACAUAUGGGUUACAUGCCUUAUCAUUAGCGAUAUUACAAAAGGAAAAUGGCCUGUUAGGGGACAAUAAUGGGCUCCAGCAUUGAAGGCAUCCAGACAAAUGAGUAAAGCGGACCUUCCCACUGACUCAUUUAAAUAGAUGUUAUCACUCUGUGCUACAAAUUAUUCAUACUCUUGGAAAUCACAUGCUUAUGCGCGGCCCACACGUCUUUCCAAGGCACAAAGCCACAGGCCUAAUAUGUGUCAUUCCAAGACAUUUUUUUCUUGUGUGGUGAAAAUCACACAUGAGGGAAUAUUACAUGUGGAAGUAGCGGUAAAGAAAGCCCACGUCCUUCCCAGCUGCGUUAAUUACCUCCACUCCUGAGCAUCGCAAACCGCUUUCACAUGAGGUUCGCAACGCAGCAACUUUAUCACGUUUAGCGUGAAAUGUCUCUUACUUAUGAAUGAAUACCCUAUAAAAUGUAAACAGCAUGUGCUUGGAUGAAGGGAAGCAUUGAAACAUAAACCAGUCAGUUUCUUCACACUGCAAUGGGACAUCUCGUAUAAUUUGAUUUAAGAUUUGUCGAGAGGAAGAAAGUGUGAGUCUGUUAUAUGGGCUGGACUUUUAAACACAAAGAAGAAAAUGGGACAGAGUUAAAAAGAGAAAACGGCUUUUUUUGUCAUGCAGCUCAUCUUUCAAAAGAAUUUUGAAGUUGAUGCUUCAAUAAAAGAAAAGUCUGUGCUAGUACAGUAUGUCUCUUUAGAAGAAGGACAUCGUAAAAACUGCUAAAUGUUUCUCCUGAAGUUGAAUGAAACUGAUUUAUUGUAUCCUCCUCAUUUGUUGCUGCUUAUGGAGGUUUCUAUCUAAUUUGCACUUCACUUGUUUCAAAAGCCUUUGUGAAAUGAGUGGGUUUAAUCUAAUAAAAUAAUAAGCAAACGUCUAUUUUUGUUCUAUUGUUCGGGUCCUUUCUACAUCCACAGAAUGUGCACAAAGCCAAACCAAAAAACAAGAUCCAUUUUAUAUCUCUUAAACACUGCUCUCUACAAGAGAUUGACCGGAUGACAGUUUUAAACCACAGCUGCACAGACAAUACAAACAAUUUGUCGGGGAGGAACAAAUAUUAAAACAUUUGAGACAACCAACUUAAUUAGACACUUUUUAUAUUGUAAAUCAGGGGUCUCCAACGUUUUUCAGGCCAAGGUCCCCCAAACUGAUGGCAGGAUGGAGCUGGGACCCGCUAUUCUACGGAAUUUGGUCCGCCAUCUUUUAUUUUUGAGCUUCGCGCUCUUUAGACGUAAGCAUAAACGCGAUGUGAUUGGCUAGUGCCUGUGCUGUCGUAUUUGCAUGAAAGGAGCUGUGAAUGAACCGGAGCUCAGGUUGAGAGAGCUGCUGUGGGAAGCUGAAUGUGUGUGUUGCGGACUGAAAGAUAAUGUCUUCUGCAUAAAUGUAUCCGUUCGCUACAAUAUGUCGGAUUCAUGUAAAUGUGUAUUUAAAGUCAAUAAAUACAAAAAAAAUGUUUUUUUAAUAAAAAAAAAAAUUGCAACCCCCUGCAGUACCCCUGCAGACCCCCUGUUAAAGACCUCUGUUGUAAAUCAUUUGAAUGCGUGAUGCUCAGCGUAAUCACGGAGCUAUACAGCUAACGCUAAACAAGGUUACAUUGAGGAGAAUUAUGGGUCGUACUCAGCAUAUGUAUGACUAUCGAAAAUAAUAAAUUAAUUAACUAAUCAGAUAUCAUAAUGAGUUCAAAAGUAACCGUGUAAAAUGAACAUUAUGACGAGAAACUUCAAUUAAUGCAUUAGUUUGAAGGAGAUGUUUUUGCAGUAACAUACAAUGUGAAGUAGUUAAUUAUGACCUGUUUAACCGGUCCGAGCGGAUGUAGCGGCUACAAAGGUGUACAAAUGUAAAUUGCGUGCACGUGUUAACGUGUCGUCGAUCCUACACUUACACUAACACAUUAUUUGGUUCAGUGCUGUAUCCAUGCAGCACGCAUUCACAUCCCCUUAAACCCUCACGGAGAGAUCCAUCAUCUGAUGCGUUUUGGAUCAUGUUCAACUCCCUCUCUCACCGUAUUGAUGGCCCUCCAGAUUUACCUCUCACAGCGUUAGCUGAGGUGAUGCAUAUUGAAAAGCUCAGCGCCCGGUUGACAUUGGGGCUCUACCAUUUGAUCUCCUUGGGUUCAGCAAAGCGGUGAACUCUGGGUUUGGGAAGCUACAAAAUAGAUCCUGUAAAAUGGAAUAUUUGCCGAGGAGGAUGUUGGGUUGCUGGUUUACAAGCGAGUCACUAAUCCUAUAAAGUCUGGAUUACCCUUUCUUUAUGAGGCUCAGUAUUGUGUUGGAUCUUGCGGGACUGUCGAACAGGGAAAAAAUCCAAGUAAUUGACAAUACCAGGAUCCCGAUCACAGAUCCAGGAAAAUCAAAGACAAUGGACUUUUCCUGUGAUCAGCGCUCUCCUCUAUUCUUACUCUGCGAGUUGCUGUGUUCUCUACUGUAAGUCAGAAAAUCAAUGGCAGAUUCCGCUUAAUUCCCUCCCAUCCUAUCAUUUAUUUUCAUCCCCACUCUGCUGCAGAAACUCCACUCUCAGUCGUACGCUUUUAACAAAAAGUUAUUUGGCAAUAUCAGGAUGCUGUAUACCCGAUGAAUCCAUUUCAAACAGCCCAUGGAAUUCCUCUGACAUUAAACAAGGUCGGUAUGGAUUUGUGAGCAUCAGCAUGUCCUAAAGACGCCGAGGAGUCAAAACUCUUCUCAGCCACGCUACAACACUUUACAUAACAAAGCAUCAUAUCCGUGGCAUUGUUGACAGCCGACACUGCAGCUAUCACGGUACAACAACAACAAAAAAAUGGAUGUUGACACUAAACUUGUUUGGAUAAGGAAUUAGGAUUGUGUAACCAGCUUGCAUGUUAUAUUUGUCUCCAAGCAGUGCCUACGUCCCCUACUGAGACCAUUUGGAUUCAUGUCUGACAAACGCCAGCACCAACGAGAUACAUCCAGAUAUAUUUUUAUGGAGCAGAUGUUGAUCCAAGUCAUAUUAUCCCUUUCGGUACGCAGUUGAUUCAAGGCAAUACAAUGAGAUUAAACGGCACGUGAUGCAGGGCCCAGCCUGAAAAGGGUCUCAAACGCGCCAUGUCAUAUCUACGGCGUAUUUCUUAGGAGUUUCUACAAAGGCAUUUCUCCAUGUUUUGUAAGAGUUUCAUUGACGGAUCACCUGCCAUGUAUUUAUUUUUUAAUGGGCCUGCCGUUCUGCACUGUUCUGUGUAACAAACCAUCCUGCGCAUCAGGUCACUUGUCAACGUCUCAGCGUGCUGGUCAGCCACCGCCCGGUGGAUUUCCUCUGGUGCGCUUCAACUGGCUCUGGAAGUUGGCUUAAAGAGAGGCAGGAUAAGAUUGUGCGUAGCUGCGUCCAUUUUCUUCAGUUUGGCAGCUAUAUCAGGUGUACUUUUAGUCAUGAGACGUAAAAGAGAUGUUUUAGAACCUGUUUUUGUAAUGUUUUGGUAAUGUAUUGUAUUAGAUAGUCAACAACAAUCAAAAAUGUUUUAGUCCUAUUUUAGUCUUCUUUCUUUUAGUCCAAAUCUUUUCAUUUUGAAUUAGUCCUCCGUGAAAUGUCUCUUUGUCUCUUUGUUAUUGAAGAUCUCAGUCGAUCUAGUCAAGCUGUUCAACUUCCUAAGCGUGUAAAACAUCUUUUUAAUGAAAAUUGACUAUAGUUUACUUUAAAAAAUGUAGUAAUAUUGUGGAUAAUUAUUCGAGAUCUGCAAAAUACUGCAAUUUAAGACACGUUUUGGGGAUCGUAGUCUCUUCACGUUAAGUUACCACAGUUAUCGCAAAAUUGGUGAAUUCCUAAAUGACACCAAUAUAGAUUUGCAACAGGAUGCCAGAAGAUUGUAGUAUUAUUAUUUGAAAAGGCAUGGCUUUGUAUGGUUAUAUAAUUAUAAUAAUACUAUAAUAACAAUACAAUAGUUCAGUUACACUUUUACACUACACAAUUACAAAUUUGGUCAUGGUUCUCUGGUCUAAAUUACUUUACCUAAGUAAUUUACCUUACUCUAAGUUCACUUUUUUCAUCCUCACUAACUAUUUUUGCUGGUUAACACUGCAAUUAUGAGAUGCAAAAAAAUAAACCUACAGCAGAGUUUUAGGUGUUAUUAAGUUAAAACUUGCAAUCUGUUUUUAUGCAAUUUCCUCCAAGCCUCUAAUCAGCGCAACCAUGUGUCCAUCAUGGCAACGUGACAACAAAACAGGAAUAUUAACGCUUCUCUGCUGAGCACAUAUGUAUAGGAUAUGAAUAGCUUCACUGAAAUAUUCUUCUAAAGAAUAAGUACAUAUUUUUGAGGUUUAUGUUCGACCUCGAAAACGCUAGUUAAAAAAACUGGAGCUUUCAGUCAUACGCAAUCUUGAACACAAACUCCUCAUCAGAUGUGGAUUUGUACAUCUCACAAUCAUCACUUCCAUCAUUAAAAUCCUUUGAGAAAAAAGGUUCCAUAUCAACCAGUAAAUGGAAUUUUUGGUGAUACUGCUUUCUCAAAAUAUUGGCAUCGAUGUGUUCAUAUUUUGACUCAUAAGAUAAGUGUUUUUUGAUGUGUUAUUAACAUGUACAAUGGAGGCCCUUAAAAACGGCAAAAAACAACUCAAAGCAUCUCUUUACGUCUGAAGUCUUCAGCUUAAGUCUGACCUUUAAGAAAAGUUUAUUCAUAUUCACAGAAAUUAUAUGUGAUGCAAUCUAGAAUUCGAUCUCCCAACUGGACUCAAAAUAAAGACUAGAAUACACAGCAUCAUUGUUAAAAAUAGAUAUUCAGAUAGAACAUAUUCAUAUUGGAUAUGUCUGUCUGUGUGAAAGUUAACUUUAACAACUGUGCAGCAGAAGGCUUCAUGCCUAUCGGUGGUCCCUCACCGGGGGUUGCAGUUUGCACCGUUAACCUGAGGCCUUAUGUGACCUUGGGCACUUGCCCUUGGUAGGUGAAAUGAGGUGUGUGAGUCAUGGCUCGCGGUCAGGCUAUAGCACAUGACCUGGGAAAUAAUGACACUGGACAAAUGUUCUCUCUCUCUUUCUCCCUCUCUCUCUCUCUUUCUCUGCUUCUCCCAUGCAUUGUAUGAAAUCUAGCAGGCCAUUGUUUUACUGCUUAAUUUUAUAUAAAAAUAAAUAAACUGCCAUAUACAACAAUAUCAUGUAUUUAUAUAUACAUUUAUGUUCUACUUUGGCUUAGAUGCAGAUGACUGUCUAGUAACUACUCUGAAGCCUCACGCAAUGCCCCACCCACAGCACUAUGUGACCGGUUACCCGUCAUUUGUAAUAGCCCAUUAACAGCACCGGAGGCUACUGUGCUGCAGACGGUCAAGGACGAAUGCAGACUGGAGCUGCGCCGGUGAGCGCGCAGCGCUGUAUUUCUAACGUCGGGCUGCAGAGAUUACUGAAAUUACAUUAAGCAUCACAAUCAUCCACCCUGAAGUCACAGUGCUCUGACCAGGGAUGUUAACAAUUAACCGACAAUAAGCACUUAGACUGCAUAAUGCUCUCAGUUAGACUGACCAAGGAAAUAUUAGAAAUGCUAGAGUUGCAGCAUUUAUUCAAUUACAAAAAAUGUUUAUACAUACUGAAUCAGGAAUCAGGAAACAUUUAUUAGCCAAAAUAUGUCAAACAUACAAGGAAUUUGUCUUGGCGGUUAGUGCGCGACAGUAGACAGACAAGACAACAGUGCACAAGUAAUAAAAUAAAGUGGAAUGAAAUGCUAAUGCAAUGGGUUAGUAGAAUAAGGCUAAGGCUAUGGGUUAG